AGAGCGAACGCUGGCGGCAGGCCUAAUACAUGCAAGUCGAGCGCACCUUCGGGUGAGCGGCGGACGGGUGAGUAACGCGUGGGAAUGUGCCCUUUGGUACGGAACAACUGAGGGAAACUUCAGCUAAUACCGUAUGUGCCCUUCGGGGGAAAGAUUUAUCGCCAUUGGAGCAGCCCGCGUUGGAUUAGGUAGUUGGUGAGGUAAAGGCUCACCAAGCCUACGAUCCAUAGCUGGUCUGAGAGGAUGAUCAGCCACACUGGGACUGAGACACGGCCCAGACUCCUACGGGAGGCAGCAGUAGGGAAUCUUGCGCAAUGGGCGAAAGCCUGACGCAGCCAUGCCGCGUGAAUGAUGAAGGUCUUAGGAUUGUAAAAUUCUUCACCGGGGAAGAUAAUGACGGUACCCGGAGAAGAGCCCGGCUAACUUCGCGCCAGCAGCCGC
This 441-nucleotide ribosomal RNA is filed under the name uncultured bacterium. RNAcentral's name for it is "SSU rRNA". It matches the Rfam family "Bacterial small subunit ribosomal RNA", at positions 26 to 518 of the family's 1533-position model. The record is from RNAcentral.